This 478-nucleotide ribosomal RNA is filed under the name uncultured bacterium. RNAcentral describes it as "partial 16S ribosomal RNA". It matches the Rfam family "Bacterial small subunit ribosomal RNA", at positions 28 to 523 of the family's 1533-position model. The record is from RNAcentral.
GACGAACGCUGGCGGCGUGCUUAACACAUGCAAGUCGAACGGUAAGGCCCUUCGGGGUACACGAGUGGCGAACGGGAGAGUAACACGUGGGUGAUCUGCCCUGCACUUCGGGAUAAGCCUGGGAAACUGGGUCUAAUACCGGAUAGGACUCCUCGCUUCAUGGUUGGGGGUGGAAAGCUUUUGCGGUGUGGGAUGGGCCCGCGGCCUAUCAGCUUGUUGGUGGGGUAAUGGCCUACCAAGGCGACGACGGGUAGCCGGCCUGGGAGGGUGACCGGUCACAGUUGUACUGAGAUACGGCCGGGAGGCCUACGGGAGGCAGCAGUGAGGAGGAUUGCACAAUGGGCGCAAGCCGGAUGCAGCGACGCCGCGUGAGGGAUGACGGCCUUCGGGUUGUAAACCUCUUUCAGCUAUGACGAAGCGCAAGUGACGGUAGUAGCAGAAGAAGGACCGGCCAACUACGUGCCAGCAGCCGCCGUAA